CCUACGGGUGGCAGCAGUAGGGAAUCUUUCACAAUGGGCGAAAGCCUGAUGGAGCAACGCCGCGUGCAGGAUGAAGGCCUUCGGGUUGUAAACUGCUUUUAUAAGCGAGAAAUAUGAUGGUAACUUAUGAAUAAGGAUCGGCUAACUACGUGCCAGCAGCCGCGGUCAUACGUAGGAUCCGAGCAUUAUCCGGAGUGACUGGGUGUAAAGAGUGGCGUAGGUGGCAUAAUAAGUAGCUAGUGAAAUCUGGUGGCUCAACCAUUCAGACUAUUAGCUAAACUGCUAAGCUCGAGACCGUUAGGGGUAACUGGAAUUUCUAGUGUAGGAGUGAAAUCCGUAGAUAUUAGAAGGAACACCAAUAGCGUAGGCAGGUUGCUGGGACGGUUCUGACACUAAGGCACGAAAGCGUAGGGAGCAAACGGGAUUAGAUACCCGUGUAGUC
Molecule: ribosomal RNA, 442 nt
Filed under: uncultured bacterium
Lineage: Bacteria
Description: partial 16S ribosomal RNA
Rfam family: Bacterial small subunit ribosomal RNA
Source: RNAcentral